AAGAACUUUGAAAAGAGAGUGAAAUAGUGCUUGAAACCGUUGGGAGGAAAGCGAAUGGAGCUGCUAUACAGACCAAGAAUUCUCAAACCGGCCAAAAAUAAGGAACCCGUUGUAAUGAUCUUGGAUCUACGUUUGCGAAAACUUUUUAUCCUGGCGGUUCAUAACUUUAGAGUUCAUUUAUAUAAUUUUAUGUACUGUGUGAACAGUCAAAUUUUAUGUAAAAAUAAAUCUAUCGUGAUGUGACCAGAGACAAAGGUUGAAAAUGUCUACAAUCUAAUAGUUUGUUAGACCUAAAAAUUAUACAAAAGGCAGACGGAAGGGCUUUAUUCGACCCGUCUUGUAACACGGACCAAGGAGUCCAGCAUAUACGCGAGUGCUUGGGUGGUAAACCUUAGCGCGUAGCGAAAGCAUAGGAAUCAUGAAUUAUUGAACUUUUUUUUUUAUUUUUUUUAUUAAAGAAAAUUUAAAAAACUGACUCUUUAAUUGUCAUUUUUCUAAUGUGGGAGCUUUUUCGUUUUGAAUGCGCACCACGAUCCAACUUUCAAAGCUUAGGCAGGAAUAGUUUGUGACCGAGCGUAUAUGAUGGGACCCGAAAGAUGGUGAACUA
Molecule: ribosomal RNA, 607 nt
Filed under: Hemiselmis andersenii
Lineage: Eukaryota; Cryptophyceae; Cryptomonadales; Hemiselmidaceae
Description: partial Eukaryotic large subunit ribosomal RNA
Rfam family: Eukaryotic large subunit ribosomal RNA
Source: RNAcentral